CACUCUAAAAAAUAUUCAUGGUGUUUGUAGGUAGAACUUAACAAAAAAGCAUUUUUCUACUUAAAAAAGUAAGUUGUCUACAUGUACACAUUUCAGUGAGUUGACUAAUCAAUGUUAAAAGUCAGUGCAACACAUAAAUUAAUAAACACCUCCUUAACUUAAAUGUUUGAGUAUAUUGAACAAAAUACUUUUAUCAUCAAUCAACAACAGAAAAUAUUAAGUUUGUGUAACAUGUAAAAGUGAGUUUGAACAUCUUUCGUGUUUGAACUGCCCAUAACUGGACCAUAACGAAAAAAUAAUUACAACUACCAUAAAAAAAGAAGAAAUGGAAAAAAACAGAGGUUGGCACCACUACCUGAGUUCAGUGGAAACAAGAAGAGAGGUCGCAAUCCGUUGCCUGAUGGUGUAUCUGAAAGAGAAAGAAGAGGAUCUCUUCAGAGAACAGCUGGAUGGUGAAGAACAGUUCUCAGAAGAAGUGGUAAAGAUCGUAGUCACCAGACGUGCAGCAGUGCCACUUCCAGCCGUCGCUAAAAUUGUGAUUGAAGGAACAGCUGUCCUGGAAGACCUUGAUGUGCCCAGAGCGUGUGCCUUAAUGAUGGGACUUAUAUACGCUCUCAAUCUGAGCUACCCCAAACAAGUAAAGAACACUCUAGAGGUAUUCCAGAAGGUGUUUCUGGAACUUGAUGGGCUUAAAGCCAGCCCACAGGUAAUGUCUCUUAAGUACAAACUUCUGUUAUAAAACAAAUGUAAUUUAGGCUGCAAUAUUCAGAUGUGCUGAUGCUUGUGUUUUUUAUGCAGUCUUAGACAAGUGUAGUUUUGAGAGUUCAUAAUACGUAUAACCUUACCUUUGGAUUGUUGCGUUGUUAAAUAUUAACAUGUUUUGUAAUUUUCUUGAUUCUGUGAUAUUUACCAAGUUGCUAGGUUAAAGUUAAUGUUUAAUAAUACCGGUAAGCAGAUUUGCAAAAACAAAUUGCCUCACUUUGCAAUGUUUGUUUUCUGAGGUAUUUUAGAAGGGUGUGAUUUAAAAUUAUUGUUAUUUGGAAGACUUGAGAUAUAUAUAUAUAUAUAUAUAUAUAUAUAUAUAUAUAUAUAUAUAUAUAUAUGCGCCGCUUUAUUUUUAAUAUACCUUUACAAAUCUUUAUAGUGGUUCUCAAAGUCGGUCAUCAGGCCCCACUGCUCUGCUUCUUUCUAUUAAUAACUAAACACUGUUGAUUGGCUGGUGUGUUCAGUUAAUCAGAAGUUGUAGACACCAUUGUGGAGUAAGAAAAACGAAGUAAAUUGGUAUGUUUUAGCUUCUGAUUCAACACCACCUUGUCCAGGUAAUAAACAUGCUACAUUUUCUUUUGUUACUGAGGUUGUUUGUGGAGGAAUUGUACUGAAAUACAUUAUUGUUUUUGCCCACUCAUUUAUAAUUAAAGGGCUGCUGUAAUGUUUGAUUUAUGUUGUAUGACACAGAAGUGUAUUACUUCGAAAAUGUUAUGCAAUAAACUGUUUCAUCAGUUGGGAUAAUUUAAAUGGCUA
This is a long non-coding RNA of Astatotilapia calliptera (eastern happy), 1521 nucleotides long. The record is from Ensembl. Lineage: Eukaryota; Metazoa; Chordata; Actinopteri; Cichliformes; Cichlidae.